AUGUGUGUACCCAAGAACCAAGGAGGAAUGGGUUUUCGGGAUAUCCAUUGUUUCAAUUUGGCUAUGCUGGCUAAACAGGCUUGGCAUCUUCUCGAGAAUCCGGAUUCUCUAUGUGCUACUAUUUUGAGAGUUAAAUACUAUCCCGACAGUGACUUGUUGAACACUGACCUGAAGAAGGGAUCUUCCUUCACCUGGCAAAGUAUUAUGGCGGGUGUG
RNAcentral lists this ribosomal RNA (216 nucleotides) under Triticum aestivum (bread wheat). RNAcentral's name for it is "partial small subunit ribosomal RNA". Lineage: Eukaryota; Viridiplantae; Streptophyta; Magnoliopsida; Poales; Poaceae. The record is from RNAcentral.